GCCUGGGUGGCUCAAUCGGUUGAGCGUCUGACUUCGGCUCAGGUCAUGAUCUCGCAGUCUGUGAGUUCGAGCCCCGUGUCGGGCU
This 85-nucleotide transfer RNA is filed under the name Felis catus (domestic cat). It matches the Rfam family "tRNA". From Rfam's summary of the family: Transfer RNA (tRNA) molecules are approximately 80 nucleotides in length. Their secondary structure includes four short double-helical elements and three loops (D, anti-codon, and T loops). The record is from Rfam by way of RNAcentral. Lineage: Eukaryota; Metazoa; Chordata; Mammalia; Carnivora; Felidae.